This 274-nucleotide ribosomal RNA is filed under the name uncultured bacterium. RNAcentral's name for it is "partial 16S ribosomal RNA". It matches the Rfam family "Bacterial small subunit ribosomal RNA", at positions 523 to 796 of the family's 1533-position model. The record is from RNAcentral.
ACACGAACCGUCCAAACGUUAUUCGGAAUUACUGGGCUUAAAGGGUGCGUAGGCGGUGCGGUACGUUGGGUGUGAAAUCCCUCGGCUCAACCGGGGAACUGCGCUCAAUACUGCCGUACUUGAGGGAGACAGAGGUAAGCGGAACUGAUGGUGGAGCGGUGAAAUGCGUUGAUAUCAUCAGGAACACCAGUAGCGAAAGCGGCUUACUGGGUCUCUUCUGACGCUGAGGCACGAAAGCUAGGGUAGCGAACGGGAUUAGAUACCCCAGUAGUCC